Molecule: ribosomal RNA, 468 nt
Filed under: uncultured bacterium
Lineage: Bacteria
Description: partial 16S ribosomal RNA
Rfam family: Bacterial small subunit ribosomal RNA
Source: RNAcentral
GACGAACGCUGGCGGCGUGCUUAACACAUGCAAGUCGAGCGGAAAGGCCCUGCUUUUGUGGGGUGCUCGAGUGGCGAACGGGUGAGUAACACGUGAGUAACCUGCCCUUGACUUUGGGAUAACUUCAGGGAACUGGGGCUAAUACCGGAUAGGAGCUCCUGCUGCAUGGUGGGGUUUGGAAAGUUUCGGCGGUUGGGGAUGGACUCGCGGCUUAUCAGCUUGUUGGUGGGGUAGUGGCUUACCAAGGCUUUGACGGGUAGCCGGCCUGAGAGGGUGACCGGCCACAUUGGGACUGAGAUACGGCCCAGACUCCUACGGGAGGCAGCAGUGGGGAAUAUUGCACAAUGGGCGGAAGCGUGAUGCAGCAACGCCGCGUGCGGGAUGACGGCCAUCGGGUCGUAAACCGCUUUAGCCUGUGACGAAGCGUGAGUGACGGUAAUGGGUAAAGAAGCACCGGCUAACUACGUG